ACGAACGCUGGCGGCGUGCUUAACACAUGCAAGUCGAACGGUGAACGAGGGAGCUUGCUCCCUCCGGAUCAGUGGCGAACGGGUGAGUAACACGUGAGCAAUCUGCCCCGAACUCUGGGAUAAGCGUUGGAAACGACGUCUAAUACCGGAUACGACGCGGGAGGGCAUCCUCUCCGCGUGGAAAGAACUUCGGUUCGGGAUGAGCUCGCGGCCUAUCAGCUUGUUGGUGAGGUAACGGCUCACCAAGGCGACGACGGGUAGCCGGCCUGAGAGGGUGACCGGCCACACUGGGACUGAGACACGGCCCAGACUCCUACGGGAGGCAGCAGUGGGGAAUAUUGCACAAUGGGCGCAAGCCUGAUGCAGCAACGCCGCGUGAGGGACGACGGCCUCCGGGUUGUAAACCUCUUUUAGCAGGGAAGAAGCGAAAGUGACGGUACCUGCAGAAAAAGCACCGGCUAACUACGUG
This 469-nucleotide ribosomal RNA is filed under the name uncultured bacterium. Its description in RNAcentral is "partial 16S ribosomal RNA". It matches the Rfam family "Bacterial small subunit ribosomal RNA", at positions 29 to 507 of the family's 1533-position model. The record is from RNAcentral.